Molecule: long non-coding RNA, 673 nt
Organism: Ricinus communis (castor bean)
Lineage: Eukaryota; Viridiplantae; Streptophyta; Magnoliopsida; Malpighiales; Euphorbiaceae
Exons: 2
Source: RefSeq, a predicted model, not a curated record
UCACUUCGUCUUCUGGCUGUUAUUUCAGAUCCUGUGAUGAUGAUAAAAGAAAAGAUUAAUUCUGGGCCUUGUAGUAAAGGGCAAAAAAAGAAAAAAAAAAAAAAAAAAAAAAAAAAAAACUAGAACCAUCAUAUCAAAAUUCUAAAAGCCACCAAAGAAUAGCAGGGAGCCACAAAUUUGAGGGUGGUAGGUUUGCAGUUGCACGGUAAUUAAAGGACCAAAGAACGAGUUGAAGAAGCGGAAAAGAAAUGGCGGCAACUCGAACAGCAACAACAAUGAUCCUCAAAGAGAUUGUUUAUUGCAGGCUACGAUUAUCUUUCUCUUCCUUAUCAUCGUCAUCACUUCCCUCUCUCCAUCUAACUCCUACUAAUUUACAUGCUAACGCCGUUAAAUUCACCCGCCGCGAAUUAAGCUUCAGCCGUAUUCGGUGCGCUGCCUCUGACGACAAGAAGGUAUCGGCUCGUCUAUCGCAAGUUCAGCAGCUCCAGCACCCUGUCCUCCGGUCCAGAUUCCGAGUGCUGGUGGGCAUGGACCAUGGACCCAUCUUUCCCAAUAACAAAUAGAAGGUUGUUAUUUGUUAAAAAAUAAAAGAAAAAAAAAAAACAAACAAACGAACAAACACACAGCAACUCAUCCUUUAACACUCCUAAUAUACCCAUUAUUGUUUGCUUUA